Molecule: ribosomal RNA, 386 nt
Filed under: uncultured organism
Description: bacterial SSU rRNA
Rfam family: Bacterial small subunit ribosomal RNA
Source: RNAcentral
UGGUUCAGGCAUGCAAGUCGAACGAUCUCGCAAGAGAUAGUGGCAGAAGGGUUAGUAACACGUGGGCAAUCUACCCUCGACUCGGGGAUAACAUCUCGAAAGAGAUGCUAAUACCCGAUGACAUUACUUGGUGGCAUCAUCGAGUAAUCAAAGGUGGCGCAAGCUGCCGAUUGAGGAGGAGCCCGCGGCCUAUCAGCUAGUUGGUGAGGUAAUGGCUCACCAAGGCAUUUGACGGGUAGCUGGUCUAAGAGGACGAUCAGCAACAUUGGGACUGAGACACUGCCCAGACUCCUACGGGAGGCUGCAGUCGAGGAUCUUUAGCAAUGCCCGAAAGGGUGACUAUGCGACGCCGCGUGCAGGAUGAAGGCCUUCGGGUCGUAAACGGC